CCUACGGGGGGCAGCAGUGGGGAAUUUUGGACAAUGGGCGCAAGCCUGAUCCAGCAAUGCCGCGUGUGUGAAGAAGGCCUUCGGGUUGUAAAGCACUUUUGUCGGGAAAGAAAACCUCUGCCCUAAUACGGUGGGGGGAUGACGGUACCGGAAGAAUAAGCACCGGCUAACUACGUGCCAGCAGCCGCGGUAAUACGUAGGGUGCAAGCGUUAAUCGGAAUUACUGGGCGUAAAGCGUGCGCAGGCGGUUCGCUAAGACAGAUGUGAAAUCCCCGGGCUUAACCUGGGAACUGCAUUUGUGACUGGCGGGCUAGAGUAUGGCAGAGGGGGGUAGAAUUCCACGUGUAGCAGUGAAAUGCGUAGAGAUGUGGAGGAAUACCGAUGGCGAAGGCAGCCCCCUGGGCCAAUACUGACGCUCAUGCACGAAAGCGUGGGGAGCAAACAGGAUUAGAUACCCUAGUAGUC
RNAcentral lists this ribosomal RNA (465 nucleotides) under uncultured bacterium. Its description in RNAcentral is "bacterial SSU rRNA". It matches the Rfam family "Bacterial small subunit ribosomal RNA", at positions 338 to 795 of the family's 1533-position model. The record is from RNAcentral.